UACAGAGGUCUCAAGCGUUGUUCGGAUUCAUUGGGCGUAAAGGGUGUGUAGGUGGCGCGCUAAGUCGGGUGUGAAAUUUCGGAGCUUAACUCCGAAACUGCAUUCGAUACUGGCGUGCUUGAGGACUGGAGAGGAGACUGGAAUUCAUGGUGUAGCAGUGAAAUGCGUAGAGAUCAUGAGGAAGACCAGUGGCGAAGGCGGGUCUCUGGACCGGCAUUGACGCUGAACAGCGAAAGCUAGGGGAGCAAACGGG
This 253-nucleotide ribosomal RNA is filed under the name uncultured bacterium. RNAcentral describes it as "partial 16S ribosomal RNA". It matches the Rfam family "Bacterial small subunit ribosomal RNA", at positions 524 to 776 of the family's 1533-position model. The record is from RNAcentral.